Molecule: ribosomal RNA, 301 nt
Filed under: uncultured bacterium
Lineage: Bacteria
Description: partial 16S ribosomal RNA
Rfam family: Bacterial small subunit ribosomal RNA
Source: RNAcentral
CAGUAGCCGCGGGAAUACGUAGGGUGCGAGCGUUAAUCGGAAUUACUGGGCGUAAAGCGUGCGCAGGCGGUUCGUUAAGACAGAUGUGAAAUCCCCGGGCUUAACCUGGGAACUGCAUUUGUGACUGACGGGCUAGAGUAUGGCAGAGGGGGGUAGAAUUCCACGUGUAGCAGUGAAAUGCGUAGAGAUGUGGAGGAAUACCGAUGGCGAAGGCAGCCCCCUGGGCCAAUACUGACGCUCAUGCACGAAAGCGUGGGGAGCAAACAGGAUUAGAUACCCGGGUAGUCCCUGUCUCUUAUAC